RNAcentral lists this ribosomal RNA (468 nucleotides) under uncultured bacterium. RNAcentral describes it as "partial 16S ribosomal RNA". It matches the Rfam family "Bacterial small subunit ribosomal RNA", at positions 28 to 507 of the family's 1533-position model. The record is from RNAcentral.
GACGAACGCUGGCGGCGUGCUUAACACAUGCAAGUCGAACGGAAAGGCCCUGCUCUUGUGGGGUGCUCGAGUGGCGAACGGGUGAGUAACACGCGAGUAACCUGUCCUUGACUUUGGGAUAACUUCAGGAAACUGGGGCGAAUACCGGAUAGGAGCUCCUGCUGCACGGUGGGGGUUGGAAAGUUUCGGCGGUUGUGGAUGGACUCGCGGGUUAUCAGCUUGUUUGUGGGGUAGUUGCUUACCAAGGCUUUGACGGGUAGCCGGCCUGAGAGGGUGACCGGCCACAUUGGGACUGAGGUACGGCCCAGACUUCUACGGGAGGCAGCAGUGGGGAAUAUUGCACAAUGGGCGGACGCCUGAUGCAGCGGCGCCGCGUGCGGGAUGACGGCCUUCGGGUUGUAAACCGCUUUCGACUGUAACGAAGCGUGAGUGACGGUAAUGGGUAAAGAAGCACCGGCUAACUACGUG